GGGGGSGGGGYGCUAAUACAUGCAAGUCGAGCGAACUGAUUAGAAGCUUGCUUCUAUGACGUUAGCGGCGGACGGGUGAGUAACACGUGGGCAACCUGCCUGUAAGACUGGGAUAACUUCGGGAAACCGAAGCUAAUACCGGAUAGGAUCUUCUCCUUCAUGGGAGAUGAUUGAAAGAUGGUUUCGGCUAUCACUUACAGAUGGGCCCGCGGUGCAUUAGCUAGUUGGUGAGGUAACGGCUCACCAAGGCAACGAUGCAUAGCCGACCUGAGAGGGUGAUCGGCCACACUGGGACUGAGACACGGCCCAGACUCCUACGGGAGGCAGCAGUAGGGAAUCUUCCGCAAUGGACGAAAGUCUGACGGAGCAACGCCGCGUGAGUGAUGAAGGCUUUCGGGUCGUAAAACUCUGUUGUUAGGGAAGAACAAGUACGAGAGUAACUGCUCGUACCUUGACGGUACCUAACCAGAAAGCCACGGCUAACUACGUGCCAGCAGCCGCGGUAAUACGUAGGUGGCAAGCGUUAUCCGGAAUUAUUGGGCGUAAAGCGCGCGCAGGCGGUUUCUUAAGUCUGAUGUGAAAGCCCACGGCUCAACCGUGGAGGGUCAUUGGAAACUGGGGAACUUGAGUGCAGAAGAGAAAGCGGAAUUCCACGUGUAGCGGUGAAAUGCGUAGAGAUGUGGAGGAACACCAGUGGCGAAGGCGGCUUUUGGUCUGUAACUGACGCUUAAGCSAGCGUGGGGARCCAC
Molecule: ribosomal RNA, 749 nt
Filed under: Priestia megaterium
Lineage: Bacteria; Bacillati; Bacillota; Bacilli; Caryophanales; Bacillaceae
Description: bacterial SSU rRNA
Source: RNAcentral